UACGGAGGGUGCGAGCGUUAAUCGGAAUAACUGGGCGUAAAGGGCACGCAGGCGGGGUUUUAAGUGAGAUGUGAAAUCCCCGGGCUUAACCUGGGAAUAGCAUUUCAGACUGGGAGUCUUGAGUAAUUUAGGGGGAGGUAGAAUUCCACGUGUAGCGGUGAAAUGCGUAGAGAUGUGGAGGAAUACCGAUGGCGAAGGCAGCCCCUUGGGAAUGUACUGACGCUCAUGUGCGAAAGCGUGGGGAGCAAACAGG
Molecule: ribosomal RNA, 253 nt
Filed under: uncultured bacterium
Lineage: Bacteria
Description: partial 16S ribosomal RNA
Rfam family: Bacterial small subunit ribosomal RNA
Source: RNAcentral